Molecule: ribosomal RNA, 165 nt
Filed under: uncultured bacterium
Lineage: Bacteria
Description: partial 16S rRNA
Rfam family: Bacterial small subunit ribosomal RNA
Source: RNAcentral
UAGGGAAUCUUCCACAAUGGACGCAAGUCUGAUGGAGCAACGCCGCGUGAGUGAAGAAGGUCUUCGGAUCGUAAAGCCCUGUUGUAAGAGAAGAACGUGUGUGAGAGUGGAAAGUUCACACAGUGACGGUAACUUACCAGAAAGGGACGGCUAACUACGUGCCAG